This 872-nucleotide ribosomal RNA is filed under the name Pseudopatellina conigena. Its description in RNAcentral is "LSU rRNA". It matches the Rfam family "Eukaryotic large subunit ribosomal RNA", at positions 75 to 963 of the family's 3401-position model. The record is from RNAcentral. Lineage: Eukaryota; Fungi; Ascomycota.
UUGCCUCAGUAACGGCGAGUGAAGCGGCAACAGCUCAAAUUUGAAAUCUGGCUCUUUCAGGGUCCGAGUUGUAAUUUGUAGAAGAUGCUUCGGGUGUGGCCCCGGUCUAAGUUCCUUGGAACAGGACGUCAUAGAGGGUGAGAAUCCCGUAUGUGACUGGGUGCCUAUGCUCAUGUGAAGCUCUUUCGACGAGUCGAGUUGUUUGGGAAUGCAGCUCUAAAUGGGUGGUAAAUUUCAUCUAAAGCUAAAUAUUGGCCAGAGACCGAUAGCGCACAAGUAGAGUGAUCGAAAGAUGAAAAGCACUUUGGAAAGAGAGUUAAACAGUACGUGAAAUUGUUGAAAGGGAAGCGCUUGCAACCAGACUUGCACGCUGUCGAUCAUCCGAGAUUUUUCCCGGUGCACUCGACUGCGUUCAGGCCAGCAUCGGUUUCGGUGGUUGGAUAAAGGCCUUGGGAAUGUGGCUCCUCUCGGGGAGUGUUAUAGCCCUCGGUGCAAUGCAGCCUACCGGGACCGAGGACCGCGCUUCGGCUAGGAUGCUGGCGUAAUGGUUGUAAGCGACCCGUCUUGAAACACGGACCAAGGAGUCUAACAUCUAUGCGAGUGUUUGGGUGUCAAACCCAUACGCGUAAUGAAAGUGAACGGAGGUGAGAACCCUUAAGGGUGCAUCAUCGACCGAUCCUGAUGUCUUCGGAUGGAUUUGAGUAAGAGCAUAGCUGUUGGGACCCGAAAGAUGGUGAACUAUGCCUGAAUAGGGUGAAGCCAGAGGAAACUCUGGUGGAGGCUCGCAGCGGUUCUGACGUGCAAAUCGAUCGUCAAAUUUGGGUAUAGGGGGCGAAAGACUAAUCGAACCAUCUAGUAGCUGGUUCCUGCGA